AAUGGGGAUCCGCGUAUUAUUUUCUGGACCCUUUUCCAAAUAAUUAAAACCCUAAAAGUUGUUUGCGACUCAAUUCUACGGAUCAAGCCGAAGAGGCGGCAGUGAAAAAUCUCUUUAUCGUGUUUUCAUUGGAAUAAGAUCAACUCUCGAGUGAUGAAACUAAUCUCAAUCCUAGAGUUGGCUUGGAUAGAGGAACAAACACAAGACUAGCCUUGAUUUCUUUGUUGGGUCUCCCCGAUACGAUAUAGUUUUGAAGGAUGGACAAGUUUCACAACCAAAUUUGUCAUCAUAAUCUCAUUUGCGAGUUUCAAGCCAACCACAGGAGAUUAUUUGCACAUUGCCAAACAGUUGCAGAGGGAUCUUCUUCAAAACAUUGAUUGUAAACAGAUAUCCUGAUUGUGAGGAAGGGCUGAAUGCUUCUACUGCUGCUGCCAAUCUAUCUAAAGAGAAGAACGUGAUGGAAGUAUCAUAACAUGUGAUACAAAAUCAUGGAAACGAAAAGAGUCAAAGCCUAUAAAAAAAAAAUCUAUAUUUAGCCUUUAAUGUUCCAGCUGAUGAAAAGCUGCUUGCGAUGUAAGUUUAUCUUUCUUCUCACUUUUGGGACCAACAGAUAAAAGUGAUAUUAUUUUUUAGUCAUGAUUUUUCUUUAUGCUGAGGAACCCUUGAAGGAGAUGAUGUUAUGUUACUUGACAUACUUCAACAAGUCAGAGAGUUAUCUGGGCUGGGCGGGUCACAGGCAGAUAAGGAUAAGAAGAAGACUAAGCAUCAGUAAGAGACAUGUCCAGUCGAUGAGAUUAAGAAGAAAUAGAGAAGAAAGAAAGAAGAGAUAAUGUGUCGGUUUUAGUUUUUUUU
This is a non-coding RNA of Camelina sativa (false flax), 852 nucleotides long. The record is from RefSeq and is a predicted model, not a curated record. NCBI's taxonomy places the organism in Eukaryota, Viridiplantae, Streptophyta, Magnoliopsida, Brassicales, Brassicaceae.